CUGAAGGCUAGAAUAUUUGACUGCAGACCAGGAGGUCUCUGGUGCAAAACUUUGUGCCCCAGUUAGCACUUUCUUUUAUUGCCAAGCCGAAAGAGUCCUUUCUUGAUGCAUUCUCCAGCUUUCUAGUCACUGUUAUCAGUAAUCUUCCUAGCCCCUGUGUCAGUUUUCUUUUAUGACAUCAAUUAUCUGGUACAAGUCAGGGUUCUCUUCUUAAUCAUCUAAGCACAAUUCAGAUGUUUUCAAUUAGUCUUUUCAGUUUACAUCAUGGAGGGAGAUGCUGAAUCAGAGUUUACCCAGCCUGCUCUUGCAUCAGGAUUACUGGCUGAGCUUGGUAAAAUUACAGAUCACUCCUAGUAGUUCUGAUCUAGGACCAUUUUGGAGGAAUCUAGAAGCUUUUCGGUUUUGGUGACAACACUGGUAACAUCCAACCUAGUAUCCAAUGACAUCAUAAAGGAAACUUGGAACUGAAUGAUAAUGAAAAUAUAGAGUCAAAAUCUGUAAUGUAAAAUUCAAGCAACAGGGCUACCAGCAUCUGUAGCAUCAGUGACAGCUGUAGUCACCUAUCUUUCCGCCCUUCGGGAGGCACCCUGACCGCCCUCGCCCCAGCACAGCUCUCUCCCUCCCUUAGGGAAGAGGCUCCUCACCUUCAUCGCCACAGUCUCAUCGCAGCAUCCUUCCACGGUCAUGCCCUGGACCAUCUUAUUCCUGACUGUCGCCUCACAUUCCAGCAGUGAAGGUGCUAUGAGGUUUCAAGCAAAUUUCCUUCAUGAAUACUUCAAUGGCUUCCAGUUUUGCACUAAUUCAGAAAAGGAUACAAUGAAUCUCCAAAUAUACAGUCUUCAUGCAUUGAUUUGAAUUAAUCAAUGAAGAAUAAACCUCUAGA
Molecule: long non-coding RNA, 883 nt
Organism: Heterocephalus glaber (naked mole-rat)
Lineage: Eukaryota; Metazoa; Chordata; Mammalia; Rodentia; Bathyergidae
Source: RefSeq, a predicted model, not a curated record